RNAcentral lists this ribosomal RNA (253 nucleotides) under uncultured bacterium. RNAcentral describes it as "partial 16S ribosomal RNA". It matches the Rfam family "Bacterial small subunit ribosomal RNA", at positions 524 to 776 of the family's 1533-position model. The record is from RNAcentral.
UACGAAGGGGGCUAGCGUUGUUCGGAAUUACUGGGCGUAAAGGGCUCGUAGGCGGUUUGUCGAGUCAGGCGUGAAAGCCCCGGGCUCAACCUGGGAACCGCGCUUGAGACUGGCACGCUAGAGUUCGGGAGAGGAUGGUGGAAUUCCCAGUGUAGAGGUGAAAUUCGUAGAUAUUGGGAAGAACACCGAUGGCGAAGGCAGCCAUCUGGACCGAAACUGACGCUGAGGAGCGAAAGCGUGGGGAGCAAACAGG